This 692-nucleotide long non-coding RNA is filed under the name Homo sapiens (human). RNAcentral's name for it is "novel transcript". The record is from RNAcentral. Lineage: Eukaryota; Metazoa; Chordata; Mammalia; Primates; Hominidae.
GUCCCUCCCUCAAGGAGUGGAGUUAGCGAGGCUGCGCUGGGGUGCUCCGUUGCCGAGGAUGGGCCGAGUUCGAGGCGGCAAAGGAAUUGUCUGCCAGGCUUCUGGAGGCACCUGGGCCGUGUGGGUUCACAGCGGUCAUCCAGGGAAUGGAUGGACAUGGUACAGCACUGGGGCCUGGGACCAGGACGAGCCUCAGAACACGGCUGCUGGCACCUCGUCCUUGACGUGCCCCAUCGCACUUCCUUCUCCCGCCCACGAGGACCUCGGUAAUGUCGCCCCUGAAACUGCUGCGGAACCUGGAGCCCACUGUAACCCAGAAUUGGAAUCCCAGCUCAGCCCCUGCACACCUGAUUGCCCGGAGAAAUGCCUUAUUCCUGACAGCCUCUUGGUUCUUUUCCGUCUCCGGUUAGGUGAGAAGGUCAAUCUGGCCCUGCGGGUUAUGUUGGGGGUUACAUGAGAACCUCAUUGGCAUGAAGAGGCCAGGCAGGUCCUCCGACAGUGCCACAGCCCCAGGCUUGUGCCGCCAAAUCACGGAGGCCUUCCGGGCCCUGAACACGAACCGGACGGGGCCUUCCCGCAUUACUACCCGAAUGACACUGCUGGGGGGACCGCUCUCUGGAUGCCAUUGUGGCCACGUGUCGGGACGGUCGGCUGCUUGACUCCACGACUUAAAGCUAGAUUUGGCCUUUUAA